UACAGAGGCCUCGAGCGUUAGGCGGAAUCACUGGGCUUAAAGGGUGCGCAGGCGGUGGCCCGCGUGGGCGGUGAAAGCUCCUGGCUCAACUGGGAGAGGGCCGUCCAGACGGGGUCACUUGAGGGGCGGAGAGGGGCGUGGAAUUCCGGGUGGAGCGGUGAAAUGCGUAGAGAUCCGGAGGAACACCGACGGCGAAGGCAGCGCCCUGGCCGCCAUCUGACGCUCAGGCACGAAAGCUGGGGGAGCGAACAGG
RNAcentral lists this ribosomal RNA (253 nucleotides) under uncultured bacterium. RNAcentral describes it as "partial 16S ribosomal RNA". It matches the Rfam family "Bacterial small subunit ribosomal RNA", at positions 524 to 776 of the family's 1533-position model. The record is from RNAcentral.